Molecule: ribosomal RNA, 634 nt
Filed under: Malassezia globosa
Lineage: Eukaryota; Fungi; Basidiomycota; Malasseziomycetes; Malasseziales; Malasseziaceae
Description: eukaryotic LSU rRNA
Rfam family: Eukaryotic large subunit ribosomal RNA
Source: RNAcentral
GCAUAUCAAUAAGCGGAGGAAAAGAAACUAACAAGGAUUCCCCUAGUAACGGCGAGCGAAGCGGGAAGAGCUCAAAUUUGAAAGCUGGCACCUCCGGUGUCCGCGUUGUAAUCUCGAGACGUGUUUUCCGUGCGGCUCUAUGGACAAGUCCCUUGGAAUAGGGCAUCGUAGAGGGUGAGAAUCCCGUACUUGCCAUGGAAGAACCGUGCUUUGCGAUACACGCUCUAAGAGUCGAGUUGUUUGGGAUUGCAGCUCAAAAUGGGUGGUAGACUCCAUCUAAAGCUAAAUAUCGGGGAGAGACCGAUAGCGAACAAGUACCGUGAGGGAAAGAUGAAAAGCACUUUGGAAAGAGAGUUAAAAGUACGUGAAAUUGUCGAAAGGGAAGCACUUGAAGUCAGCCAUGCUGCUUGAGACUCAGCCUGGCCUUUGGGCUUGGUGUAUUUCUCGGUGGCAAGCCAGCAUUGGUUUGGGUCGUCGGAGAAGCGCAUAGGGAAUGUAGCGUCUCCGGACGUGUUAUAGCCUUAUGCAGGAUACGACGACCUGGAUCAAGGAACGCAGUGUGCCCUCUGGGCGGGUCUUCGGACACCUUCACACUUAGGAUGCUGGCGUAAUGGCUUUAAGUGGCCCGUCUUGA